Magnolia sinica is the source of this 1304-nucleotide long non-coding RNA. RefSeq lists it as uncharacterized. The record is from RefSeq and is a predicted model, not a curated record. The transcript is spliced from 2 exons. NCBI's taxonomy places the organism in Eukaryota, Viridiplantae, Streptophyta, Magnoliopsida, Magnoliales, Magnoliaceae.
GUGGAUCCACACUGUCCAACCAUUUUGACAGCUCAUUCUAGGGCAUGAUUCCAAAAACGAAGUUGACUCAAAUCUUAGGUGGAACACACCACAAGAAACAGUCGUGAUCGAAUCCCCACCAUUAAUAGAUUCUACUGGAAUGUUUAUUUUCCAUCCCAGCUCAUUCUAGGGCAUGAUUCCAAAAACGAAGUUGACUCAAAUCUUAGGUGGAACACACCACAAGAAAUGGUCCUGAUCGAAACCCCACCAUUAAUAGAUUCUACCGGAAUGUUUAUUUUCCAUCCCAUCCGACCUGUUAAUAAGGUCACAAAGACCCAGCACCUAAAUGAAGAGAUUCCCAUCCAACCAUUUAAUAAUAAGGUCACAAAGACCUAGCACCUAGAUGAAGAGACCGCACAAAUAUCGUCUUGAUCCAAAGCUUUUGUUGCCCACAAGUUUUUAAUUAUCAAUUACCAUUGUUUCCUGUACCAUGGUCCAUCUAAGAUUUAAUUGUCACUUACCGCUGUUUCACGUACUAUGGUCCAUCUGGAGAAACUUGUAUCUGCUUCAUUUUUUGGAUCAUGCCCUUAAAUGAGCUUUCAAUACGGAUGAAUGGCAUGACUGUAAUCCCACACAUAAUGGUGGGCCCCACAGUCAGGGGUGCCACCCAUCUCACUGGAUCCUCUUAUCCACCAAAAGCUGCGCCUGAAUCCGCCACAGGGCAGACUAGGUUCUGAUUUGGUGAACCAGGCAUGGUUAGCUUUUUCUUCUUUUUUUUUCCCCUUUGUUGUAUUACUCCAUAUUUCAAAUAUUUAUUAUAGAUUUAAAUACUACUUAAUUAUCAAAUACCGAAUCGAGUCUUCGAGUCAACCCACCCAUUUGGCAAACGAGUCGAAUCAGGUUCAGGAUUUUGAACGACAUAUAGCACAUGUACUUAAGUGAUUACUCCUGUAAGUUAUAAAUUUCAUUCAUCAACAGUCAUACGACCAGUUAAAAACAACAAACGACCCAUGUUCUCUAAAAGGGUUCUAUAAAUCAGGGUACACUCCCAUUAAGGGACCCACUUGGGGGGGGGGGGGGGGGGCGCGGAUACGUCUAAAAAAAUUACAUAGUUUCUCAGCAGCAUGAGGCAUUGCAUUAUGUUCAUAAUUCAUAAUGAAUACAUGAAGAGAAGCCAGAACGGUUCUCUCAAUUCCUACUUUUAACUCUUCAUUCACUGUCUUCCCUGUCCAACCGAUCAUCAUGCCAACCAUAUGUCCCAGAAUUCAGCAAUAACGGGGCUAUCCCAACCCUUGGAUCAGAGGACUUACCAAAAAAAAUAAAAA